Molecule: transfer RNA, 71 nt
Filed under: Capra hircus (goat)
Lineage: Eukaryota; Metazoa; Chordata; Mammalia; Artiodactyla; Bovidae
Also listed under: 1 other name
Rfam family: tRNA
About the family: Transfer RNA (tRNA) molecules are approximately 80 nucleotides in length. Their secondary structure includes four short double-helical elements and three loops (D, anti-codon, and T loops).
Source: Rfam by way of RNAcentral
UCUCUGGUGGUCCAGUGGUUAGGACUCUGCUUCCAAAGCAGGGGAUGCAGGUUUGACCCCUGGUCAGGGAA